Molecule: ribosomal RNA, 119 nt
Filed under: Pteropus vampyrus (large flying fox)
Lineage: Eukaryota; Metazoa; Chordata; Mammalia; Chiroptera; Pteropodidae
Source: RNAcentral
GUCUAUGUCCAUGCUACCUUGAACAAGUUGGAUCCUGUUGGAUCUCGGAAGCUAAGCAGGGUCGGUCCUGGUUAGUUCUCGGAUGGGAGACCACCUAGGACGAUCAGGUGAUGUAGGUG